This 439-nucleotide ribosomal RNA is filed under the name uncultured bacterium. RNAcentral's name for it is "partial 16S ribosomal RNA". It matches the Rfam family "Bacterial small subunit ribosomal RNA", at positions 339 to 795 of the family's 1533-position model. The record is from RNAcentral.
CUACGGGUUGCAGCAGUGAGGAAUAUUGCACAAUGGGGGGAACCCUGAUGCAGCAACGCCGCGUGGAGGAUGACGCAUUUCGGUGUGUAAACUCCUUUUAUAUGUCAAGAAAAUGACGGUAGCAUAUGAAUAAGCACCGGCUAACUCCGUGCCAGCAGCCGCGGUAAUACGGAGGGUGCAAGCGUUACUCGGAAUCACUGGGCGUAAAGGACGCGUAGGCGGGAUAUCAAGUCAGGUGUGAAAUCCUACAGCUUAACUGUAGAACUGCACUUGAGACUGGUAACCUAGAGUAUGGGAGGGGGAGAUGGAAUUAGUGGUGUAGGGGUAAAAUCCGUAGAUAUCACUAGGAAUACCUAAAGCGAAGGCGAUCUCCUGGAACAUAACUGACGCUAAGGCGUGAAAGCGUGGGGAGCAAACAGGAUUAGAUACCCCCGUAGUC